RNAcentral lists this ribosomal RNA (539 nucleotides) under uncultured bacterium. RNAcentral's name for it is "bacterial SSU rRNA". It matches the Rfam family "Bacterial small subunit ribosomal RNA", at positions 76 to 611 of the family's 1533-position model. The record is from RNAcentral.
GAGCUUGCUCCCUGAUUUAGCGGCGGACGGGUGAGUAAUGCCUAGGAAUCUGCCUGGUAGUGGGGGGUAACGUUCCGAAAGGAACGCUAAUACCGCAUACGUCCUACGGGAGAAAGCAGGGGACCUUCGGGCCUUGCGCUAUCAGAUGAGCCUAGGUCGGAUUAGCUAGUUGGUGAGGUAAUGGCUCACCAAGGCGACGAUCCGUAACUGGUCUGAGAGGAUGAUCAGUCACACUGGAACUGAGACACGGUCCAGACUCCUACGGGAGGCAGCAGUGGGGAAUAUUGGACAAUGGGCGAAAGCCUGAUCCAGCCAUGCCGCGUGUGUGAAGAAGGUCUUCGGAUUGUAAAGCACUUUAAGUUGGGAGGAAGGGCAUUAACCUAAUACGUUAGUGUUUUGACGUUACCGACAGAAUAAGCACCGGCUAACUUCGUGCCAGCAGCCGCGGUAAUACGAAGGGUGCAAGCGUUAAUCGGAAUUACUGGGCGUAAAGCGCGCGUAGGUGGUUCGUUAAGUUGGAUGUGAAAGCCCCGGGCUCA